Long non-coding RNA from Marmota monax (woodchuck), 799 nucleotides. RefSeq lists it as uncharacterized. Lineage: Eukaryota; Metazoa; Chordata; Mammalia; Rodentia; Sciuridae. The record is from RefSeq and is a predicted model, not a curated record. The transcript has 3 exons.
GUAUCCUUGAAGAUCUCUUGGACCCUGGUUCUUUUUUUCUAUUCAUAUUACAGGGAGAGUUUAACUAAUUUCAGAAGACGAUGCUUCACGUACAUGUUUUAUUUCAAAUAGUUCUUGAGUCUCCUGAAAAUCUUCAGCAGUUGCAGAGUUUCUGGUCUACUUCCUAGUCUAUGAUCCACUUUGAAUCAACAUUUGUACAGGUGAAAAUUUUGUUCCCAGGUGAGGAUUUGGCUUGGAGGGGGAAGAAAGUAAAGAAGGAGUAAUAACUGGAACAAAACAAAGGUAAGAACAAACAAACAAAAAAAUCAAAUCAAAACAAACCCACAAAAUUUUUUCUCUAUCCAAAGUCAAAGUCAAAACAAAGUUGAAUAACAAAUGGGUGAAGAAAAAUUAUUAAAAUGAAAGACAAUUAAUAUCAAUGUGUAUAUGCUUUGGAAGCAAUCACUACAGCAAACAUACACACACACCCCACAAAAAAAUGGAAAAAUUUAAAAAAAUUUAAAAGUCUUAAUGAAAAAUGAAGAGCUUGUUUCCACUGAAGUGGUCAAAACUGUCGAUAAUGAUGUGUGUUCACUGCCUCUGCUGUUGUAACCUUCUUUGUGUUUGCACUAUGUACUCCUUGCAUCAAGAGCUGUGGAUUGUUAAACCUGAACUCUUUAUGUUUUUUUUCUUUUCAAAGCUUCCAACUGGUGUGGUCAGAAACCAAAGCUGGUUGUAGUAGCUCUCAGCUUUCCAUCUCACUGUAGAGUAGGUAAGACUGGGGAAUAUUGACAAUUGAAGUUUUUUCUGAAUAGGCUAG